UUCUGGGCAAGUCACAAGGAGUACGCACCAGGGGUUGAAAUACAAGCUUCUGCCUCACAACUGCCAACUUGGCCGCACUGAGUCACAUGUUGAUUCCCACCUAAAGACAAGUCCCGAGCAGGCUGGCGUCUGACAGAUAGAGCCGCUCGCCCGUUUACUCCGGUGCUAAUCACAGGCGUGUUUACAGGAAAAUGCCCUCAUCUGCUUCCAGCAGCUCCAGCCACUCAGCCAUGUGAGAGCUGUCUUCAAAGUCAAUUGCCUGUCAUUUUGCUGAUUUAUGUUGAGCAACUGCAAGGCCCCCUCGAGACUUUGGCUGGAAACGGAUUCCAGCGGUCUUUAAAAUCGUGAUCACACAUGCCGUUUCCCAGGAAAUACUGAUGACGGGGGCUGGACAGGAACUAUCAGAUAAGAGGAGAGGAACCUACAAGCCACCCCCAUCCUUCCUGCCUGGCUUCUUCACAUUUCAACCAGCAGAAUCUGAUUUCUUCCCAAUAACUUGCCCUCUAACAGAAGUUUUCUUUUGAAAAUAAAUCUAUUACUGAAAAGGGUGACCUAUUAAAUAACAAACCCAUUA
Sus scrofa (pig) is the source of this 574-nucleotide non-coding RNA. NCBI's taxonomy places the organism in Eukaryota, Metazoa, Chordata, Mammalia, Artiodactyla, Suidae. The record is from RefSeq and is a predicted model, not a curated record.